Molecule: ribosomal RNA, 497 nt
Filed under: uncultured bacterium
Lineage: Bacteria
Description: partial 16S ribosomal RNA
Rfam family: Bacterial small subunit ribosomal RNA
Source: RNAcentral
GAUGAACGCUGGCGGCGUGCCUAAUACAUGCAAGUCGAGCGAACAGACGAGGAGCUUGCUCCUCUGACGUUAGCGGCGGACGGGUGAGUAACACGUGGAUAACCUACCUAUAAGACUGGGAUAACUUCGGGAAACCGGAGCUAAUACCGGAUAAUAUAUUGAACCGCAUGGUUCAAUAGUGAAAGACGGUUUUGCUGUCACUUAUAGAUGGAUCCGCGCCGCAUUAGCUAGUUGGUAAGGUAACGGCUUACCAAGGCAACGAUGCGUAGCCGACCUGAGAGGGUGAUCGGCCACACUGGAACUGAGACACGGUCCAGACUCCUACGGGAGGCAGCAGUAGGGAAUCUGCCGCAAGGGGCGAAAGCCGGACGGAGAAACGCCGCGUGAGUGAUGAAGGUCUUCGGAUCGUAAAACUCUGUUAUUAGGGAAGAACAAAUGUGUAAGUAACUAUGCACGUCUUGACGGUACCUAAUCAGAAAGCCACGGCUAACUACGUG